UAACCAGCCAAUUAAUCUGUUUCCCUGAACAUUUCUGCAGGCAUUUAGAAAAAGCUUACAAUGGCGAUAACUGCAUUAGAAACCUCAAAGACAGCUCAAGUCUUUUAAGAUUCCUGAAAAUGGCCACAAUA
Cricetulus griseus (Chinese hamster) is the source of this 131-nucleotide small nucleolar RNA. NCBI's taxonomy places the organism in Eukaryota, Metazoa, Chordata, Mammalia, Rodentia, Cricetidae. The record is from Ensembl.